This 499-nucleotide ribosomal RNA is filed under the name uncultured Glomeromycotina. RNAcentral describes it as "partial small subunit ribosomal RNA". It matches the Rfam family "Eukaryotic small subunit ribosomal RNA", at positions 591 to 1092 of the family's 1831-position model. The record is from RNAcentral. Lineage: Eukaryota; Fungi; Glomeromycota.
CCAAUAGCGUAUAUUAAAGUUGUUGCAGUUAAAAAGCUCGUAGUUGAAUUUCGGGAUCAAUCUGCCGGUCGUGCCUCCGGUAUGCACUGGUUUUAUUGGUUUCUCCCUUCUGACGAAUCAUGCUGUCAUUAAUUUGGUGUCAUGGGGAAUCAGGACUGUUACUUUGAAAAAAUUAGAGUGUUUAAAGCAGGCUCACGCUUGAAUACAUUAGCAUGGAAUAAUGAAAUAGGACGUUUGACCCUAUUUUGUUGGUUUCUAGGAUCGACGUAAUGAUUAAUAGGGAUAGUUGGGGGCAUUAGUAUUCAAUUGUCAGAGGUGAAAUUCUUGGAUUUAUUGAAGACUAACUACUGCGAAAGCAUUUGCCAAGGAUGUUUUCAUUAAUCAAGAACGAAAGUUAGGGGAUCGAAGACGAUCAGAUACCGUCGUAGUCUUAACCAUAAACUAUGCCGACUAGGGAUCGGAUGAUGUUAUUUUUUAAUGACUCAUUCGGCACCUUACG